Pipistrellus kuhlii (Kuhl's pipistrelle) is the source of this 720-nucleotide long non-coding RNA. RefSeq lists it as uncharacterized. Lineage: Eukaryota; Metazoa; Chordata; Mammalia; Chiroptera; Vespertilionidae. The transcript has 2 exons. The record is from RefSeq and is a predicted model, not a curated record.
UUUGGAUUAAAAGUAUAUUAAAAUUAUACUUGUUUCUAUUUACAUUUUUAUAUGGAUAGUAGAAAAUUUAAGAUAUAUAUAACUCAUUAUAUUUCUAAUAAACAGUGCUAGUUUAGAAAAUAGCUUUUAUGUUAUAGCACAAUACAAGUUCCAAAUUUCAAUAAGCAGAAAUGAUACAUAAUUUUCUGACCCUAAUAUAACAAACGUAAAAUUAAUAAAAGCAGCUUUUUUAGGAAGUUUUUUCUCCUAUAUUCUGCAUUAGGGAGGAAAUCCUUUUGAUAAACUAUCCUAAAGAUAAUUUUAUGUAUAAAAAUGCAUCAGAUAUGCUUUAAACUUUAUUGAAAUUACUAAAAGUGUAAAUUAAUAGAUAGCAGAUUAACUUAGGAAACAAAUAAGGACUGAUGUUACAGUAUGGAACAGGUUACAGAAUUAAUAAAAUAUAUACACACCUGACAAGGUUAAUUUUGGAGAAAAUGAACCAAACCAACAAUUAGAGUAUCAAAAUACAUCAAAUUUAACUCAAGAAAAAGAACUGAGAACAAAAUUAAAAUAGUGUCAAAGGAUUACCUUCUCUAAUCCAUGCACAUUUUUCCCAGCAGUGUCUUUCGCACAUGAAACCAAGAUGACUCAGUUUGCACUUAGUUUUUCCAGAAAACUUGGUGGGGUGUUUUAUAACAUUCACCUAAAGCCAAUUCUUAAAUCUAAGAGUACACACACACA